AGCUUUGGUGAGGUGGACAGGAGGUGACCUCGCGAGCAGACGCGCGCGCCAGCGACAGCAGCCCGCCCCGGCCUCUCGGGAGCCGUGGGGCAGAGGCUGCGGAGCCCCAGGAGGGCCGGAGCCCUCAUGACUUCAGUGACCUGCUUCUGCCCCUCUAGGUCUAUCAGCCACAGUCUCUGCAAGUUUCCAAGAGCAGCAGAAAAUGAACACAUUGCAGGGGCCAGUGUCAUUCAAAGAUGUGGCUGUGGAUUUCACCCAGGAGGAGUGGCAGCAACUGGACCCUGAUGAGAAGAUAGCAUACGGGGAUGUGAUGUUGGAGAACUACAGCCAUCUAGUUUCUGUGGGGUAUGAUUAUCACCAAGCCAAACAUCAUCAUGGAGUGGAGGUGAAGGAAGUGGAGCAGGGAGAGGAGCCGUGGAUAAUGGAAGGUGAAUUUCCAUGUCAACAUAGUCCAGCUUUCACAGCAUUGAAAAGAUCAUUGGCUGGUGGCUCUGACUGUUUCCGGCUAUGACGAUGUACCACUCGGGACCCUUUCUCUGGAUGUUUGCCAUCUAAUAUGUAUAAAAAGAUCAGAAAUAUGAAAAAAAGGUAACAAUGACAUU
This 602-nucleotide long non-coding RNA is filed under the name Homo sapiens (human). Its description in RNAcentral is "novel transcript". The record is from RNAcentral. Lineage: Eukaryota; Metazoa; Chordata; Mammalia; Primates; Hominidae.